Molecule: long non-coding RNA, 892 nt
Filed under: Equus caballus (horse)
Lineage: Eukaryota; Metazoa; Chordata; Mammalia; Perissodactyla; Equidae
Description: lncRNA (ENSECAG00000045834.1)
Source: RNAcentral
UCACAGCGAGUGUGGCGUGGGAGAAAAUCAGAGGGGUAGAAUAAGGCAUGUAGAAUCUGGACUCCGAUUUCUGUCAGAAUUCACACUCCUGGCGGACAUACUCCCUGUGGUUUGUGUGGUGUUGAACAAGUCGUGGACCUCUCCCAGCCUCAGCUUCCAGAUCUGUAAAGUCAGACAAGAAUUGGACCCACCUCACAGGCUUGUUGGAGGAUCGCCCAGCUCUACGUCUUCUGAAGCACUCUGUGAACUCCCAAGCGCCUCGCAAACGAUUUAUGAAAUAUCUCAACUAGAUGUGGCAAUGAGAAUGUGCUCAACUGUCUUCAGCAGUGGAAAAGAAAAUGAUAUACUCCAAGACUCUGACUCUGUUACCAGUGCAAGUUAUGAAAAUGUCUCACCUCCCGUCAGCACCCAGACUGCAUCCACCGUCAUGUCUCUACUUCAUCUUGGCAGAACUGUAAGGUUUCCUAGGGAGGACUGGGACACAUGGCCACGUCUAGGCCAAUCACUGGCAAGAGGACCGAAAUCACCAAUCGUGACUCCUCUCCUGCGAUCUGGGGCGGGUCCAGCCUCCUCUGAUAGAUGAUCUAAAGGAGAACGAAGGGCUGGUUUUUACCAUCUGGAUCCUAGUGUAUAUUUGUGAUCAUCCUAUAAUAAGCUUGUAAUUGUGUUAUAAUAAGUCUGCAUUUCGGACUCUUUCACAUGCUUGAGCCGUGACUACAGCAUUACUCAAGGCACAUUGCCAACACUGAGUCCAAAUGACCUUGCCCCUUUUAUAGCUGCUAGAGGAAGGAGGCAGUCUCCUGCUCACAGCCUACUACUCUGUCCCUCAAGCAUCUUCCAACUUGCACCCUUGAGCAAGAAAGUGCAAACGUUGUGAUUCAAACUGUAGCAG